GAGGUGUUUUGUUUUUUUGAGAUGUAUCUCGAUAUUAGUCCAGGCUGGCCUCAAAUUUAUGGCAAUCCUCCUGUCUCAGCCUCUUGAGUGCUGGAAUUGCGCUGGGGUCUGCAGGAGAUAAUUAAAGUAGAUGAAGUAUUAGGAGGAGGCCAUUCUCGUGAGACUGGACUUUGUAAGGAGCGUGUUCUCUGUCUCUGUGUCAUGCAGCUUGUCUUCUCAGGGGAAGAGGGCUCUAACCGGAAUCCAGUCAUGCCAGCACCCUGCUCUGGGACUUACAGCAUCUGGAAUUGUUCUUGUUUUCAUGGAGCUUGAAGUGAUGGAGCCCAAGCUGGAGUGGAUAAGGAUUUCACCCAAGGCCUCACUCAUGGUCCCUUGUGCUGGCUCAGAGGUGCAGAGAUAGGAGCUUUUUGUGUGCCCUGCCUUCUCAGCUGGUGCUGGCUCCUUCCUCAGACUGUAUCUCACACUGGAACCAAGUGGGAGGGCAGCACCCAGCUCUGCCAGGUGAAAAGGACGUGCAGAAAGCCUGGCCAUUUGCCCACGUCCCACAGCUUGUGAAGAUUCCGUGGAAGCUGCAGGAAGAAGCUUGGGUCUCAGGAACAAUGGCCUGGCAGCCUUCAAGAGGCUAGACUAAGAGAAAAGGCUAAUGCCAUGAAGAUGAAUUAUGAUGCCCCUGCAUCAACUUCUUUUUUUUACUCCUCAUGUUGCUAUGGAAAGACCAGAGUAAUUGUAUUUUAAUAAUAAUAAAACAAUAAUCGUACUCAUCUACAU
This 768-nucleotide long non-coding RNA is filed under the name Cavia porcellus (domestic guinea pig). Its description in RNAcentral is "lncRNA (ENSCPOG00000039800.1)". The record is from RNAcentral. Lineage: Eukaryota; Metazoa; Chordata; Mammalia; Rodentia; Caviidae.